This 129-nucleotide ribosomal RNA is filed under the name Heyndrickxia ginsengihumi. Its description in RNAcentral is "Bacillus ginsengihumi partial 16S ribosomal RNA". It matches the Rfam family "Bacterial small subunit ribosomal RNA", at positions 1414 to 1533 of the family's 1533-position model. The record is from RNAcentral. Lineage: Bacteria; Bacillati; Bacillota; Bacilli; Caryophanales; Bacillaceae.
GUAACACCCGAAGUCGGUGAGGUAACCUUUUGGAGCCAGCCGCCGAAGGUGGGACAGAUGAUUGGGGUGAAGUCGUAACAAGGUAGCCGUAUCGGAAGGUGCGGCUGGAUCACCUCCUUUCUAAGGAAU